UACGGGGGGAGCAAGCGUUGUUCGGAUUUACUGGGCGUAAAGGGCGCGUAGGCGGUCAGCACAAGUCAGUUGUGAAAUCUCCGGGCUUAACCCGGAAAGGUCAACUGAUACUGUGCGACUAGAGUGCGGGAGGGGCAACUGGAAUUCUCGGUGUAGCGGUGAAAUGCGUAGAUAUCGAGAGGAACACCUGCGGCGAAGGCGGGUUGCUGGGCCGACACUGACGCUGAUGCGCGAAAGCCAGGGGAGCGAACGGG
This 254-nucleotide ribosomal RNA is filed under the name uncultured bacterium. RNAcentral's name for it is "partial 16S ribosomal RNA". It matches the Rfam family "Bacterial small subunit ribosomal RNA", at positions 524 to 776 of the family's 1533-position model. The record is from RNAcentral.